GGAAAUGGCAACCCACUCCAGUGUUCUUGCCUGGAGAAUCCCAGGGACAGGGGAGCCUGGUGGGCUGCCGUCUCUGGGGUUGCACAGAGUCGGACAUGACUGAAGCGACUUAGCAGCAGCAGCAGCUAAAAACUCAAUCUCAUUCAACUCUUGUAAGAAUCUCAUUAGAUUUUUCCAUUGGGGCUUCAGUAAGGCGAGAGUGCAGAAAAGUCCCUGAAAAGACACAACAGAAAUUGAUAACUACAGCGGUGUCUCCAAGCAAGAAAAGGGCUUGCACAGUCAUAGGUGAAUGUGGCCAGGGCUUUAAAAGACAGUGAGCCGAUGAGCCAAAACCUAAAGUCGCGGCACUACAGGGUGGCUCGCCUGGGGUCACCAGCAAGCUACAGUGA
This is a long non-coding RNA of Bos taurus (domestic cattle), 389 nucleotides long. The record is from Ensembl. Lineage: Eukaryota; Metazoa; Chordata; Mammalia; Artiodactyla; Bovidae.